CUUCGGAUCUAGUGGCGCACGGGUGCGUAACGCGUGGGAAUCUGCCCUUGGGUUCGGAAUAACGUCGGGAAACUGACGCUAAUACCGGAUGAUGACGAAAGUCCAAAGAUUUAUCGCCCAGGGAUGAGCCCGCGUAGGAUUAGCUAGUUGGUGGGGUAAAGGCUCACCAAGGCUACGAUCCUUAGCUGGUCUGAGAGGAUGAUCAGCCACACUGGGACUGAGACACGGCCCAGACUCCUACGGGAGGCGGCAGUAGGGAAUAUUGGACAAUGGGGGCAACCCUGAUCCAGCAAUGCCGCGUGAGUGAUGAAGGCCUUAGGGUUGUAAAGCUCUUUUACCCGAGAUGAUAAUGACAGUAUCGGGAGAAUAAGCUCCGGCUAACUCCGUGCCAGCAGCCGCGGUAAUACGGAGGGAGCUAGCGUUGUUCGGAAUUACUGGGCGUAAAGCGCACGUAGGCGGCGAUUUAAGUCAGAGGUGAAAGCCCGGGGCUCAACCCCGGAACUGCCUUUGAGACUGGAUUGCUAGAAUCUUGGAGAGGCGGGUGGAAUUCCGAGUGUAGAGGUGAAAUUCGUAGAUAUUCGGAAGAACACCAGUGGCGAAGGCGGCCCGCUGGACAAGUAUUGACGCUGAGGUGCGAAAGCGUGGGGAGCAAACAGG
RNAcentral lists this ribosomal RNA (657 nucleotides) under uncultured Alphaproteobacteria bacterium. Its description in RNAcentral is "bacterial SSU rRNA". It matches the Rfam family "Bacterial small subunit ribosomal RNA", at positions 84 to 776 of the family's 1533-position model. The record is from RNAcentral. Lineage: Bacteria; Pseudomonadati; Pseudomonadota; Alphaproteobacteria.